CAGUCGAGCGAAUGGAUUAGAUCGUGCUCUUAUGAAGUUAGCGGCGGACGGGUGAGUAACACGUGGGUAGCCUGCCCCUCAGACUGGGAUAACUCCGGGAAACCGGGGCUAAUACCGGAUAACAUUUUGAACUGCAGGGUUCGAAAUUGAAUUGCGGCUUCGGCUGUCACUUAUGGAUGGACCCGCUUCGCAUUAGCUAGUUGGUGAGGUAACGGCUCACCAAGGCAACGAUGCGUAGCCGACCUGAGAGGGUGAUCGGCCGACUGGGACUGAGACACGGCCCAGACUCCUACGGGAGGCAUAUUUAGGGAAUCUUCCGCAAUGGACGAAAGUCUGACGGAGCAACGCCGCGUGAGUGAUGAAGGCUUUCCGGUCGUAAAACUCUGUUGUUAGGGAAGAACAAGUGCUAGUUGAAUAAGCUGGCACCUUGACUGUACCUAACCGAAAAGCCACAGCUAACUACGUGCCAGCAGC
This 474-nucleotide ribosomal RNA is filed under the name bacterium 1611-S5-01-1. RNAcentral's name for it is "bacterial SSU rRNA". It matches the Rfam family "Bacterial small subunit ribosomal RNA", at positions 59 to 515 of the family's 1533-position model. The record is from RNAcentral.